RNAcentral lists this long non-coding RNA (478 nucleotides) under Eucalyptus grandis. RNAcentral describes it as "long non-coding RNA (EGRA_LNC001461)". Lineage: Eukaryota; Viridiplantae; Streptophyta; Magnoliopsida; Myrtales; Myrtaceae. The record is from RNAcentral.
CACAUCCGGGUUAUAUUCAAGAUCCCUCUCUAGAUCUUCUUCUUCUUCAAAAGUCUUUCUCCCCUUCAGGUUCCUCUUCCUUAGCUUCUCCUCAGGGUCCUGAAAUGGUUAUUCAAUAACCAAUGAGACCACGUCUCAGCGAGUCCUACCCCCUACGACUCGAUUAGUAAACUAAUAUGCCAUACGGUUGCCUAAGCACAACACGAGUCAGAGGACUUACCUUAGCCUCAGUUCCAACCUGCAAUUCAAGGUUAAACAUAGAUAUUCAAACAAUUCACGACAUCCGAUCAAGCACUGGUCAAUCGACUAAGUCGAUUACAUGUCAGCCAGACCCUUUCUAGGUCAUUCCCACUCAUACCACGAUUUCCCAGUGGUGUACUCAUUCACCAAAUCACAUGUGUUUCUCGGGCGUCGUUUUCGCCAAUGACAUACCGAUCACCGACACCGUGCGUUCUUUAAGGCGCCGUUUUCACCAGUG